GGAUAAUUCAACUGGGAGAAAAACUCACCCGACCUAUAAUAUAAUAAAAUAAAUAAUUUGGGUAGCUCAGCUCACUCUCAUAACUCAUAUCAUAUCCAAUAUCACAAUGGAGAGCUCAGCUCAUACUAUGUCUAACAUUCCACAUACAUAAUAAUUUUAACAAGUUAGUUUUACAUCAUAAGAGAAACUAAUAUAGUUAUUGUGAAAU
Molecule: unclassified non-coding RNA, 208 nt
Filed under: Hevea brasiliensis (rubber tree)
Lineage: Eukaryota; Viridiplantae; Streptophyta; Magnoliopsida; Malpighiales; Euphorbiaceae
Source: RNAcentral